This 64-nucleotide transfer RNA is filed under the name Dermestes lardarius (bacon beetle). Its description in RNAcentral is "tRNA-Cys". The record is from RNAcentral. Lineage: Eukaryota; Metazoa; Arthropoda; Insecta; Coleoptera; Dermestidae.
GGCCUUAUAUUCAAUUAUGAUAUUAAAUUGCAAAUUUAAUGGAAAGAUCUAUUCUUUAAGGCUU